CCGCCUAGAACCGCCUAGUCCCCGCCUAGCACCGCCUAGUCCCCGCCUAGCACCGCCUAGCACCACCGCCUAGCCCGCCUAGGCGGCCGCCUAGGCGCCCAGCGCCUAAGGGAAACGCCUAGGCCUAAAUCGGAGCGGUUCCUUGCCGCCUAGCGCCUAGGCGCCGCCUAGGCGGCCGCCUAGGCCGAUUUUUAGAACAUUGAGCAGCGGGUAUGUCGAACGAGGCCCCUAACAAAAGUGACGCCCUGUAUGCUGACGUCGAUCCAGAUACCAUUAUUCAGGGAUUUUUGCGAGAAUCGCAGACAGCGAGGCGAGUGGAUGUUGACCUGUCGAAUAAAGUGCGUGUGACUGAUCAUCGGGUUAGCAUGUCGCUGCCCG
Molecule: long non-coding RNA, 378 nt
Filed under: Rosa chinensis
Lineage: Eukaryota; Viridiplantae; Streptophyta; Magnoliopsida; Rosales; Rosaceae
Description: sRNA RchiOBHm_Chr6g0247391
Source: RNAcentral